Molecule: long non-coding RNA, 247 nt
Filed under: Rattus norvegicus (Norway rat)
Lineage: Eukaryota; Metazoa; Chordata; Mammalia; Rodentia; Muridae
Description: long non-coding RNA NONRATT004166
Source: RNAcentral
AAAGACGUGAGCCACCAUGAGAGUGCUGGAAACUUGGCCACCAUCUUCUAUUUCAGAGGAAGCAAUCAUUCUAGAAAGGAUGAGAGAAGAAACUCAUGAAAUGAGAAUUAAAGCAUCUGAGAGUCCCCUGCCUAAACAUGAAUGCUGUUUAAAACCGUUGGCUAAAGCGCCCACACGGAGUGCAAACCGAACUUUCUCAGAAAUGGCCACGCUAUUUAAUCUAUAUUAAAAUUGAUUUAAAAACCCA